AGACUCGGGGUGCUGGCAGCGGCAGCCCACGCCUCCCAGGGAUUGCAGGCCUGGGCGCCGGGGUUGGACCAGUCUCCCGGGCAUGGCACGCCCUGGUUAUUCUGUACCCGUGAUUUGUGGCGGGGCAAGACGUUAAGUUGGGUGACACCGAGGUGAGCCACGGUCCUCGGCACCAGAUGAGGAACCACUGUCUCAAUAAGUGACACCAGUGAUGCUGUUAAACAAGGACAAUCCGGUUCAUGGAUUGUGACAACGCACGCUGACAUCAAGCAGACCCUGCCGUCAGCUGAGUGCCAUGAGAGGACAGUGACAACCUUGGGGCCUCAUGGUGAAGGUGGCAGAAACUUUGUUAGCCUGGGUGCUCAGGGUGGACAGCUGCUCUUGCCAACCGGGAACAUUUGCCUUGAGCUCUUUUGUAAGUGACAGAUAAGCUUUUAUUGUACUUCAGCCAAGAUACAAACAUUGGACGUAUUUGUACAGCAGCUAAAGGUGCAAUCCACAACCUACCUCCUCUGCAUCCCAGUUUUGCUCCAGAGAAGUUCACGAGGUGGAUUGGCCUGAUGGGUCCUGGCUCCACUGGGAAGACCCCUGGGAGAAUCUGAAUCUUCUUGGAGGAUGGGUCUCUGCUCUGCUUCUAGUUCUCCACCUCCAGGUUGGGAGAGGGUCCUGACACCAAAAGUUCAUUUCAGAAUCUGCCUUUCAGCCCUUCCUUCUGGUCAAAGGUGUGAGUAUGGCUGGCAUGAUGGGAUGGAGAGAACAUGGGCUUCUCAAUCCCCAAUCUACCACUAGUAAGCUAUGGGAGCUGCAAUCCUCUCAGACCUCCGUUUCCUAUUCAUAAAAAUGGGAACAAUAACACUACCCUCAUGGGACUGCUUCUAGGUGCAGUGACAGGGCAGCGGCACCAUCUAACACAUUAAAAUGUCAGUUUUUCUUGCUAAUACCAUAAGGAGAUUUAAAAUAUAAAUGUAUCUAUAAAUUCCCGGACCCCAGUGUUGCCCCGUUGAAUAGAAACUACUGGAGGUUGGGUUCUGAGAAUGUGAAUUUUUGAGGCACUCCCAGUGAGACUCUGAGAAGCCGCGAUGUUUGGGAAUGACAGCUUUUCCAUUCUUCAAUUCCAGAUGCUAUUCAUAAUGAGAUGUGCUACCGAUAACAACUUCUCAGGAAAAAAUGUGUGAAUUACCAAUUACAUUUAUACAUUUCAACCUCAGACUCAUUAAAAAUUGCACCCCUGGACUGUGCAUUGUCUCAGCUGUGGUCACAGGACUGAAGGAGAAGUCUAUGUGGUGUGAGGCAAUAACCAUGACUGUGAUUAGACGGCAGCCUCGAUGAUCACCUGGUAUAUGCCAUGCUGGGAGGCCACUGAGAAUGCUCUGCAUCAUCCCCCAGGCCUGGGAUGCAGAGUGUCGGGGAAUCAGUCCUGUGUCUCUCUUCUCCAGCAUCUCUCAGCUGGAUGCACCGGGCUGUCUUUGUGGUUCAGACCUUCAGGAGCCAAGCCAAAUUGAGUCAGAGCAUGCUCCUCAGUGUCUGCCCCACCACUGAGAGGGGUCAGCCUUCACCUGGCAUCUGGCACACCAGUCUGCACUGGUGGGGCUUCUUCGUUGCUGUUGGAGCGUCUUUGCUCCUCACAGAGUUGGGAAGGGUGGGAGGGCCUCUUUCAGAGCUCUCUGCCCCUUUCCCUGUGUUGGCUGAGUCCCUAGGACUGUACUUGUGCGUUGAUUUCCCUCUUCGGUUCAUUGUAUUUGUCAGGAUUCAGGCAGGAAAACACAAACCAGGCUUGGUGUAUCUGAUAGAGGAAUUUAACACUGGCUAUAGAAUGUGUAGAUGUUGGAAGGCUGGGAUGGCAAGAGGGAGACUGUGAGGUGGCCCAGGGCUUAUGACCUAUAGAAAGCUGCUGCCCCAGCUAAGGCUGGGGGAACAAAAAGAAGGAGGGUUAUCAUUAGGAUUUGGGAUGCAGAGGAGGAGCCGUAGCCUCGGGAGCAUUGCUGUGGAGGAGGGACUGCUGCAGCUAGAGCUGAGAUGAUGGAAAUAGCACAGCUGCUUGAGAGACAUCACCUGGAGAAGAAGGAACGAGAGAAAGAGUGAGAGGAAUAGAAGAUCAACACUACUCUCCCAGCAUCUCUUAUUGAGAGAGCUUGUGAAGAAGUCAGCUGGCAAAGGAGCCAAGUGUGACUGAGCAGUGUGCAGAGAGUGUGGUGGGCCUGGGAGACAAUAGGCAAACAAUGAGUACAUUCAGGCAGUCAGCACAAAUUUACUAAGUACCUUUUUUUUUGAGACUGAGUCUCACCCUGUUGCCAGGCUGGAAUGCAGUGGCGCGAUCUUGGCUCGCUGCAACCUCCACCCCCCAGGUUCAAGUGAUUCUCCUGCCUCAGCCUCCUGAGCAGCUGGGACUACAGACACACCCCACCACACCCAGCUAAUUUUUGUAUUUUUACAGGAGACGGGGUUUCACCAUGUUGGUCAGGAUGGUCUUGAUUGCUUGACAUCGUGAUCCGCCUGCCUUGGCCUUCCAAAGUGUUGGGAUUAUGGGCGUGAGUCACUGUACCUGGCCUACUAAGUGCCUUUUAAAUGCCAGACACUGUUGUGAUGCUGGGGGGUGAGCAGGGAACAAAACAGAAAAUCUCCUGCCAUCUAGGAGCCAGCAUCUUAGUUGGGGAGACAGUCAGCAAACAUAAAAAAAGUAAAAUAUGUAAUCUCUUAAAUGGCAGUAAGAGCUAUAGAGAAAAAUGAAGACAGGAAAGGGGCAGAGAGUGGUGGGAAUGAGGGGGUGGGCAGGAAAGGUCUCACUAAGAACAGUUUAAGCAAAGACCUGGAAGAAGCCAGGCAGCGAGCCCCGAGGCUCUUCGGGGAAGAGCAUGGCAGGCAGAGAUACAGCAAGGGCAAAGGCCUUGAGGCCUGCCUUGGUCAAGGAAAAAUAAAGAGGCCUGAGCAGAGUGUGCGAGGGGAGAAGAAGUAGGAAAUGAGGGCAGGGGGAUACAGCUGAGCAGUUUGGGCUCCAGAAAUAAAAAAAAAAGGGGACCUCUUAGGAUAAGCGGGCCACCUAAAAAUUCUUUAUGCAGGUUUUUGUUAGGCCCUGGGCUCCCUCUGACUGAUGACCUGGGUGACUUGCACUGACAUCCCUUUACCCCUCUUGUAGGAUCACAGAGAGGUCAGAGGGUGGGGCUGGAGGACAGACCCUGCAGGGUCAUCAUAAUAGCUUUGGCUUUGAUGCUAAGUGAAAUGGAAAGCCUUCUACCCUUCUCAGUGCCCACUAUCUCCUCCCCACACCCCAACUCAGGAGUGGAGCUCUCUGCCUUGACCCCCAGCUCAAUUACUGGGAUUCUCCUUCCCCUGAUCCCGGCAGACACACCUUCUCAACUAGGCUGCAGGCUUCCCCAAAACAAAACCCCUGCCUAUUUUACAUAUCACUGCACAUCUACCUGGGGCUUGGCUCCCAGUAGGGGCUUAAUAAAUACCCGGUGAACGAAUGAGCAGUUAAGCAGAUCCUCAGAUCUCACAUUGGUCACCAGCUUUGUGACUCAGCUGCUCAAUCAAAGUCAAUGUCAAUUGGGUGCACAAAAUCAGUCCAUUAGUUAACUGGAAUCAGCCAAAUAAUAGGGCAGUUGCUUGACUGAAUUUCUAAACUGGCCACAUGAAACCUGUGUGGUUACAGUCUCAGUCUCCAUGAAAACUUUGGGGCUGCAGUGUUACUGCACAGAAGGUGUGUCCACCCCACUGCUUUCUGGUAAUGAUGGAAGUUUUUUCCCCCCAUUUAUUAGUGAUGAAGGGUUUGUUGGAGAUAAUUGUAUUUUUAGCAGCACAGUUAAUGAACUAGCUAAGCAUCAAUAGAUGAAAUCAUAAAACCAUUAAACACCAAGAGCAAUAAUGGGAAACUGCGUCUGGUGGUAAUGAAAUUAAGUGUCUUUAUGAGGUCACUUUAUUACUUUUCUCCUCGGCUCUCUUGCCCUCCCAAGUACAUGGUGACUGCUGCUCCUAAUUGCUGUUUCACUAAAAUGCACAAUGCUCUCCAUUUUGUGUUUUAAAUUCCAUGUAUUUCUAGGGCCUUCAGGAUCACUAAACCCUCCACCAAGAGAAUGCAAUAGAAGUGGCGGUUAUGAAAGUUUCUGGAAGUGGCCCAGUAGUACAGAAGAAUGAGGAUAGCAGAAAGGGUUGAGAAGGAAUUAAGAAAGACCUGCUGGACUUUACUGAGCCCACACUGAUGAGUCAUGUGGUCAAGGUUGAGCCCAUGCAACUUUGGCACAGCCUCCAAAGCCAGGGCAAAGUCACUCACAGAGGGACUGGAUGGCUAUGGUUAGACCUGUGCUUGAACCAUGCUUUUCAGCUUGGGAGCAAACUCAUAUGCAUAAUUUCCUUUGACCCUGUGACAAUCCCAUAUGAUACGUUUUUACUCUCACUUUUCAGAUGAGGAAACUGAGGCUCAUAGAAUCACCCGGGUCCUGCUGCUGCGUAGAGGGCAAAGCUGGUGUGCUUUCCCCAUGCCAGAGGCCUUAGGGGUCUGGAGCCCACUCACUUGCUAGUGAUUUAAACCUUGUGCAACCAAACUCAUGGCACCAUACUUAAUGCAAUAAUUCAAGAAACAUUCUUUGAGUAUCUACUGUAGGCUAGGGAUACAAUGAGCAAAACAGAAUCCUUCUCUAUCCUCAGGGAACUUAGAUGUACCUGGGGAGAGUUCCACAAGCAACAACGUGUGGUGAGUUAGGUGAAUCAGAGAGAAAGCACCAUGUUACGGAAGCUGCUGGCAGGAGGCUCCGAUCUCAUCUACAGGACAGAGAAGCCUUCCUGGAGGAAGCAAGGUUUGAGAUGAAACCUGAAGGGUAGAAGAUAAAUAGAUGAAGGAGGGGGAAGAGCACGCAGGCCAGGAGGAAGCCUGCACAAAGGCGUGUCUAACAUGUAAGAGAAAUUGGUGGCUGAGGAACUGGAUUGAUUUAGGAGGCAUCAUCAAUUGAUAAGGCUAAGGAACUGAUUCAAUUGUGGGGCUCAUGGAGAGACAGGAAUUAGGAACCCGCUCCCCCCACAACCCCAGUUCCUGACGUGGCCACCUGUGGGAUGGCAGUGCAUUUACUGAGACAGGGAGUGCUGUGGAGGAGCCUAAUAGUGGAAGUGAGGUUGGGAGAAGAUAAUGAACGGUUAUCUUAUCUAUGGUGAUGAAAAUGAGCCCUAAAAGGCAGUUCAGCUGACCCAGCUUUGUUAUGAUCUCAGGGCCAAGAACUGAAUUAAAGCCCCGAUGUAGACAUGGUGUUAAUUAUUUCAUUGAGGCCACCCAUUAAGGCUGUAAACACUGAGUUUGUUUCCACCCUACUGAGAAAUCGAAAGGACAGAGUGAAGCUUCAACAUGAUCGUCACCAGCUGGAACAAUCAGGCUUAACACGAUGAAAUUUAACAGGGACAAAUUUAAAUUACACUCCUUAGGUUCGCAAAAUCUGUUGUUUCUGUAAAGGAUGAAAAACCUGACUUAACAGCAGCUCAUGUCAACAGAACCUAAUAGAGUCAGUUGGCUAUGAAUUCCACACAAGCUGACAUGGUGAUGUGGCUGGCCUUUUGUAAGGAACAUGGCUAUACUGCAGCCAAGCAAGGAUAGGCCGAGGUAAACAUCCUGCGUGACUCAGCCAGUUUAUAGCGCAGGAGCAUAGCUCCACUUGUUGUAUAAUCACAGCCAUGUAGCCAUAACAUGGGAAGGCUCAUCACUUGGCUUGGAGCCACUAUCAUCUGUAAAAGGUAUAAUUUCCCUGCUGACACUGUACAGGCAUGCUUGUGUCCAGAGAAAGAGAGAGAGAAAGCCAGAGCUGUCUGUUUUGUAAACGGACAUGGGGGAGCCAGGACACAGCUUGGCUUGCUUGUGCCCGUAGGGCAAGAGUUAAGCUGCUAACCCUGAAGAGAGAGCUGGUUGUGCAGCUGUAUGUGGGAGCCACCGGAGCAAGCAGCCAAGACGGAGACAGUGUAAGAGAGAUGCUGAAUAAAACCACAUUUCACCUACUUACGGCCCCCUAAGAGUUCUUCCUAUCCAUCCGCCAUUCAUCCACCCACUCCCUUAGGACCUCAGCAUGGGCUGGAACCUGACCUUAAACUUAACACCCUUCUUCCACUUCUAAUGUCCCCUUGAUGUAUGAGAUAUUGGAGAGGAACCCAUGAAGCUUCCUCUGAUCAGGAUAGAGAAGAACCUGUAAGAAAAGUGCAGCAGCCAAGGAGAGAGGCCAGCUCAGAGAUAUGUCUGUAGGGAAGUCAGGGCUGGCUUGUAGGCUCGAAUGUUGGGGAGCUGCAUGCCAUGUGAUUGGAGGGUGUCUCUAACAAAACACCUGAAAAAAAAAGAGGCAAGGGACAUAAUUCUUAGCUAACAAGGGGGCCUCAGAGAGAGGGAUUUGUUAGGGCUAGGAGAAGAAGGAAGGAUGCACCAAGGAAAUGAUAAAGGAUGAAGCAUUGCAGAAAAGCCAAUUGCUGUAUUAAUUCAUUUCAGUCAUGUGUUUGAGCUCUGAUUUUGUGUAUAGCCCUAUGCUGUGGGAAAUGCUAUGAAACAACAGCCACAGAGUCAACAGCGCUGAUUGGUAUGGCUCAGAUGACCAGUGCUGUUCAGAGGAUGGUGAGGGGUCACCAGGGAAGAAGCCAUGGAGGAGCUGAAGCUUGAGCAGGCCCUUGAUGGAAGGGGUUGGGGAAGAUGUCACUGCAGAGCGUGAGCUGGGGAAGAUGAAGAAAUCAGCUGACUGGAGUCUUCAGAAAUGGGGUGGAAUAGCGUGUGCCCUGUGUUGUUGACUACCCUUGUGUUGUGCUGAUAUUCCAUCACAGAGACCCAAUUUAUCUUCAGGCUGGAAAAAGAAAAGGAAGGCCUGAUGAAAACCGUGUAUUUGGCUUUGUUUACAUUAAUGAAGUGAUUGGACAGAAAAAGUCACAAUGACUUUUUUCUUUUGUGAAAAAAAUUAUUGGGAAUGGAAUUUUGAAGUCAGGGAGACUGAAAGAGGACUCACCUAUGUCUAUCUGGAAGAUGUAUCCAAAACACCCAGGAGUUUUGUGCGCAUGUGUAUGAAGGAAGUUCAGCUAGGAAAAGCUUGCAGCCUGGGCAAUACAGCAAGACCCCAAUUCUAAAAAAUUUUUUUUUUAAUUAGCUGGGUGUGAUGGUGUGGCACCUGUGGUCCUAGCUACUCAGGAGGCUGAGGUAGGAGGAUCACUUGAGACUGGGAGGUCAAGGCCGCAGGGAGAAAUAAUAGCAUCACUGUACUCUACCUCGACCCUGCCUCGAAAAAAAAAUAAGAAAAGAAAAAGGAAAAGGAAAAGAAAAAAGUUCAGAUACUUCAAAAUGUGGAUUUGCCAUAAAAACCUUUUCUUGAAGCAUUCUUGAAAUUUCUUACCAGAUGUCAAACAGAAAAAGCCUCACAUUACUGGAGAAACUUUAUCUAAAGCCACAUACACUGGGAAUAUGGAGAUUUGUGAAUAGAAAGAGGUAAAAGCUGGAAGUGAUUCCUUAGUCAGAUGAGGUGCUUCCAUGAAGAAGAGUAGGCAUGUCUUGAAGCAAGUUAUGGAGGAAUUGGCCACCUCGCCAUUCCUCCCACGUCACUCUGUGAAACUCCAGGUAUCCUUCCAGGUAGUCACCUGCCUGUUUUGUUCAUGAUGUGCCUGCUGACUUCAACAAAGAAAGAUUUUUUUUUGUGAGUGCCUUUGGAAACUACAAAGCUGCUGAUGUUUUGCAGAUGGUAUAAAGGUUUUUUGUUUUGUUUUGCUUGUGUCAAACAAAAGUGACUCGACAGAAAAGGUUCAUUUCCUUGCACAGACAGUGCUGUUGCAAUGCGUGGCUAUGCAUCUGACUUUGCUACUUGAGUAAAAGGGAGCACCUAUGUUGUUCUCACUCACCGCAUUUCACACAAACGUAUUCUGGCUCUUCAAAAACCCCAAGAGAAGUUUUGUCAACAGCCAUAAAAGUCAUCAACUUUUAUCUAGUCUCUGAAUCACAGCAUUUUUGCAGGUUUUGUCAAGAAAUGAUGGCAGAAAAUGAAGUGCUUCUCUACCACAGAGAAGCUUACUGUCUUUCAAGGGGAAAGAUUCACUGUUUUCUAAAAGAAAAAGAAAAUCCUCUCCUGGAACAUGUAGCAAGAAAAAAUGUUGUCUGAGGGUUGGCUGACCCAGCGGAUAUUUUUAACCAUCUGAACGAGAUGAACCUUCCAGUUCGAGGCCCUGAUACCACCAUUAUGAAUGAUCCUGAAAACUUUACCAGCUUUUUUGGCUCAGCUGCCAAUAUGAAAGGAGAGUUCAGGCUGACAUCUUUGCCAACUUUUGCGAUGCUGGAGGAAGUGCUUUAUCUCAAUGAAGUUGACAUACAAAAUACUGUCAGUUUAUCUGAAAAGAGAAAUCUACAAACACCUGGAAACACUGUAGAACUCCUUUAAAAAUUAUUUCUAUCUUGAUGGUAUCAAAGUUGGACCAUAGAAUUGCAUUCUUUUUCUUGUUGAUAUAAACUGUCUCAAAGGUGUUUGCCUAGCCAAAGAUGGCGAACAUUGAUCUUGGGAUGGAAAACAGCUACAACUAGAGUUUAGCUAAAAAGUCUUGGAGAGUUUUGGUGCUCCUUGACAGAAACAUCUGUCUACUUUGCAAAGGAGCCGUAAAAGCUUUAAUUCCAUUUUCAACAAUAUAUCUUUGAGGAUUGGAGUUUUAAUGUUGUUACUAGAAAAAAUCAAAAUCAAUUGGAUGUCCAGCAUGACAAGUGUAUUAUCUCAUCAAAGACAUCCCGCUGUCUCAUAUUCUUAUUCAAACUAGGCAAAGCAGCCUUUAUAUGGGUAUGUCUUUUAAAAAACAAAAUUUAACUUCAAUUUGCCUGUAUUUCAAGUGCAAUGUCUUAUUUUUUUAAAUGUGGUUCAAAGAAGCAAAUCUGUUACUAUGUAAUAUAUAUUUUAAACAUACUAUUUUGGUAAUUGUACUUCAGUAUACACGCUUGGUUUUCCUUGUAAUCCUACGCCUUUAUUUUAUGCAUCAAAAAACAUUAUUUUAAGAAAGGUCUGUAGGCUUCACCAGAUUGCCCAAGGAAUCCACUAUGUAAAAACAGUAAAGAACUGAUGGCCCCGCACAGUUGCUCAGGCCCGUAAUCCCAGCACUUUGGGAGGCCAAGGCGGGUGGAUCACUUGAGGUCAGGAGUUUCAGACUAGCCUGGCCAACAUGGUGAAACCCCAUCUCUACUAAAAAUACAAAAAUUAGCCAGGCAUGGUGGCAUGUGCCUGUAGUCCCAGCUACUUGGGAGGCUGAGGCAUGAAAAUUGCUGAACCCAGGAGGUGGAGGUUGCAGUGAACCGAAAUUGUGCCACUGCACUCCAGCAUGGGCAACAGAGCGAGACUCUGUCUCACACACACAAAAAAAGAUCUCCUGAUAUAAGAGGACAUGAUCAUCUGCCAUGCUCUCAAGUUGCUUAACGUUCAAAAAGGCAGGUGUGUUGUGUAUGAUAUGGUGCUUGAAGAAAGAGAAGCUCCCUUGACAAAAGGCCAGGCCAGCCGUUUGGCUCCUGUGCUGUCAGAAAACCCAGUGGAGGUGGCAGUCUUUAAUGUUCAACCUCAUCAUUCCCAAGACAAUGGAAGAAGAGGGCAGAUACCAACCCAACAUAGGAAGGCACCUCUUCUCUUUUCUUUCUAUAGUAACUGAUUCCAGAAAACUGGCCAUUUCAAUCAAGCCCCCGUUGCUGAAGUGAAAUCUGUUACUGAGUUCUUCCUGUAUUCAGGGAGUGAUAUAGGGUUACAGAGAAGGGAAACACAAAGUCUCUUCCCUUGAGGAGUAAACAAUUUAGUGUUGGAGACAAAAUUAAUACAUAAAACAAUUAAGGGGAAUUAAAUGCAAGGCUAGAGGGUGUUUUAAGAAAAUUCUGCCUGUUGACUUUUUCAACACAGUAUCCUCAGGGUCUAGAAUAUUGCUUGGCACACAGUAUAUGCCAGAAAAAAAAUCUUUGUUGAAUAAAUAAGUUGAUGAUGGAAAUGUUAAAAUAACAUCUAUUGUUAUGAGAAUAAGACAGUUGUCCCUCAGUAACCAUGGGGAAUUGAUUCCAGGACCUCCCUUGGGUACCAAAGUCCAAGGAUGCUCAAGUACCUAAUAUAAAAUGGUGUAGUAUUUAUUUGCAUAUAACCUAAGCACAUUUUCCCAUAUACUUUAUUUAUUUAUUUAUUUAUUUGAGAUGGAGUCUCGCUCUGUCGCACAGGCUGGAUUGCAGUGGCGUGAUCUCGGCUCACUGCCACCUCCGCCUCCUGGAUUCAAGCGAUUCUCCUGCCUCAGCCUCCCAUGUAGCUGGGAUUACAGGCUUGUGCCACCACAUCCAGCUAAUUUUGUUUUUUAGUAGAGAUGGGGGUUCACCAUGUUGGCCAGGCUGGUCUUGAACUCCUGAUCGUAAGUGAUCCUCCAGCCUCGGCCUCCCAAAGUGCUGGGAUUACAGGCAUGAGCCACUGCCCCUGGCCUUCCCAUAUACUUUAAAUCAUCUCUGGAUGCUUACAAUACCUAAUACACUGUAAAUGUUAUGUAAAUGUUUAUAAUUUAUAUUAUUUUUUAUUUUUUUCCAAAUAUUUUGAUCCUCUGUUGAAUUCACAGAUGCAGAACCUGCAGAUAUGAAGGGUCAGCUAUACAUGUUAUUAGAGAAAAUGUAAAAAUACAGAAGACUAUAAAGAAGAAGUAAAAAAGAAAGGCUAACCAGCCAACAUUUUUGCUAUAUUGCUAUAUUUCUUCUUAGUUCUUUUUUCUAAAUACAUGCAUAACACACACACACACACACACACACACACACACACUCACUCAUACUUUCUUUUAAGAACAGAAUUGAGACUUGAGUUUUAUAGCCCGAUUUUUUUCUCUUAAAAUUAUAUUGUGAACAUUUUGCUGUGCCAUUAAGUAUUCUUCAGAACAUUAUUUUUAAUGGCUGUAUCAUAUAGUAUUCUACAAAUAAAUCAUGGUGUAUGUAGCCUAAUUUAUUAACCACUUCCCUAUUGUUGAACAUUACUGUUGGGAACACCAACAACAGCUUUUAUUUGUUGCUUUGCUCUGUUCCAAGUAUUGUGCUGAGCUUUUUCCCUUGAUGCAUAAUCUCAUUUAAUUUUGUUCUCAUAGCAAUCUAAUGAGGUAGAAUUCAUUAGACCCAUUUUACAGGGGAGAAACAUGAAGGUCAGAGGAGUAAUGUGUCAAAGGCUGCAAUUCCAGAAAGAGGCAAAUCUGGGAUUCAAGUCCUGGUCCCAUUUGAUGUUAAUGUCCAGGCACUCAAACAUGACCCUGGCCUGCCUCACCAGCGUGUAUGAGGAAGGUUCAUGCUUUAUCAGGCCAUGAAAGAGAUUGAGAAACACAUAUCAGAAAGGCAGGAGGAGACACGGAAGAGAGGAGUAUGGAGGCAACAAAGGAGAGAUCUUAAGUAGGAGGAAGUGCUUUUCUGUAUUCAAAGCUGCGAAGAUAGAAGGACAAGACCAAUGCAAAAACUGAUUAAUCUUUUUCAAGACAGGCAUUUCAGAAGCAUAAUGGGGGGUGAAAUGCGUGUUCCUAGCUCAGUGCUCCUGACUUGGUGGUAGUGGAGUGACAAAACCAUUCAUUUAUUUAUUCCCAAUACUGGGAGUCAUGGAACAGCCUUCAUAAGGUGGCAUCCAAGCAGCACAAUGUCCCUCCUGUUCCUGAGCAUUUCCGCAUCCCUGCAUCAGUGAGCAGUAUCACUAGCAGGAGCUCAGAGGCUUGUAAUGGAAGGCAGGGACAUCACCCUAUAGGGACAGCAGAACUGCAGGGUGACCAUAGGGGCUGGCCGGGGACCAGGCAUAGGUGACCAGCUUUCCGGGUGUGCCUUGGACUGAGGGGUUUUCCUGGAGGCAGAACUUCCAGUGUUAAAAACAGGAAAGUCCCAGGUAAACUGGGAUGGUUGGUCACCCUAGGCUGAGGCCCAGCUCAGAGUCUGGGCUUAUCCAGGGGCAGGUCCGUGCAGGCUUCCUGAAAGAGUAGCGAGGGAUCCGGCGCUGUUUGCGCAUGCUCACCUCCCACUUUCGGCCCUUGCAGGCUGCCUUUCCCUUGGCCUCCUCACUGAAACUUCCUCCACAAGGGUCACCGAUGAACCUUACAUACUGCCAGAUUCCACAGCCACUUUUGGUCCAAGUCACUGUCAUCCCUCACCUGGGCUACUGCAGUAGUCUCCUAAUGGUCCCCUGCUUCUAUCCUUUGCCCUACAAUCUAUUUCCAACCCGACAGCCAAAGUGACCUUUUCCUUAAAAAUUGAACUUUUUUUCAUUAAGAAAUAAUGUAUACAUAGUAAAACUCAAGUGUAUUAAUACGCAAUUCUGCAUGCUUUGGCAAACACAUGCAGUGGUUUAACCUCCACCGUAGUCAAGAUGUAAAAAUGUUUUUUUUUUUUCACUCCAACUAAUUCCUCUGUACCAACCUAUUUCCUUACCCCCAGUCCCUGUUAACCACUGAUUUCUGUUUCUAAACUUUUUGCCUUUUUGGAAUGGCAUGUAAAUAAAUCAUAUUGUAUGUAGCCUUUGAGUCUGGCUUCU
This 12464-nucleotide long non-coding RNA is filed under the name Homo sapiens (human). RNAcentral describes it as "non-protein coding lnc-PTS-1:27". The record is from RNAcentral. Lineage: Eukaryota; Metazoa; Chordata; Mammalia; Primates; Hominidae.